RNAcentral lists this ribosomal RNA (253 nucleotides) under uncultured Turicibacter sp. RNAcentral's name for it is "partial 16S ribosomal RNA". It matches the Rfam family "Bacterial small subunit ribosomal RNA", at positions 524 to 776 of the family's 1533-position model. The record is from RNAcentral. Lineage: Bacteria; Bacillati; Bacillota; Erysipelotrichia; Erysipelotrichales; Turicibacteraceae.
UACGUAGGUGGCAAGCGUUGUCCGGAUUUAUUGGGCGUAAAGCGAGCGCAGGCGGAAAGAUAAGUCUGAUGUGAAAGCCCACGGCUUAACCGUGGAGGGUCAUUGGAAACUGGUUGACUUGAGUGCAGAAGAGGGAAGUGGAAUUCCAUGUGUAGCGGUGAAAUGCGUAGAGAUAUGGAGGAACACCAGUGGCGAAGGCGGCUUCCUGGUCUGCAACUGACACUGAGGCGCGAAAGCGUGGGGAGCAAACAGG